UCUACCACGUGUUCUAAAUUGGUUAGACAUUAUACCCAUUUGAAUUGCCUUCACUCCUGAGUCUCUGAGUGUCAGGUUCAAGCUGCUGACCGACGAGGUUCCUUAUGCUUGCGAACCAGUUAGAUUCUAUACACAUAUGAAUCUUCCUCAUAUUCGAAUAUCUGAAUGUCAGACUCAAGCUGAUGAUAUAUGAGGUAUGGUCCUCGCUGUAUCAAUCAAGUCCCAUUGAAAUAUUGAAACGUUGUUCAUACAUCUUUGAAUGACCUUUUAUGUGCUGACAAUAUGUUCUGAAAUGAAGAGAUUUUACCCCUGAUGAAGUCUUGGAACAAGACGAAACGCGUUGGGUUAUUUAUCUAUCUAUUAUCUGAUGUUACCUCCGAAUCUACAAUAAGGAGAAGGAGGAAAUCGUAGUGAUAUAUCUACGCUUUUUCCUCAUCACUACAAACUGAUUGUUCAAA
Molecule: long non-coding RNA, 458 nt
Organism: Pseudophryne corroboree (corroboree frog)
Lineage: Eukaryota; Metazoa; Chordata; Amphibia; Anura; Myobatrachidae
Exons: 4
Source: RefSeq, a predicted model, not a curated record